This 1315-nucleotide ribosomal RNA is filed under the name Citrobacter portucalensis. Its description in RNAcentral is "partial 23S ribosomal RNA". It matches the Rfam family "Bacterial large subunit ribosomal RNA", at positions 1550 to 2839 of the family's 2925-position model. The record is from RNAcentral. Lineage: Bacteria; Pseudomonadati; Pseudomonadota; Gammaproteobacteria; Enterobacterales; Enterobacteriaceae.
UUAACGCUGAGGUGUGAUGACGAGGCACUACGGUGCUGAAGUAACAAAUGCCCUGCUUCCAGGAAAAGCCUCUAAGCAUCAGGUAACACGAAAUCGUACCCCAAACCGACACAGGUGGUCAGGUAGAGAAUACCAAGGCGCUUGAGAGAACUCGGGUGAAGGAACUAGGCAAAAUGGUGCCGUAACUUCGGGAGAAGGCACGCUGAUAUGUAGGUGAAGUGGUUUACCCAUGGAGCUGAAAUCAGUCGAAGAUACCAGCUGGCUGCAACUGUUUAUUAAAAACACAGCACUGUGCAAACACGAAAGUGGACGUAUACGGUGUGACGCCUGCCCGGUGCCGGAAGGUUAAUUGAUGGGGUUAUCCGUAAGGAGAAGCUCUUGAUCGAAGCCCCGGUAAACGGCGGCCGUAACUAUAACGGUCCUAAGGUAGCGAAAUUCCUUGUCGGGUAAGUUCCGACCUGCACGAAUGGCGUAAUGAUGGCCAGGCUGUCUCCACCCGAGACUCAGUGAAAUUGAACUCGCUGUGAAGAUGCAGUGUACCCGCGGCAAGACGGAAAGACCCCGUGAACCUUUACUAUAGCUUGACACUGAACACUGGUCCUUGAUGUGUAGGAUAGGUGGGAGGCUUUGAAGUGUGGACGCCAGUCUGCAUGGAGCCAUCCUUGAAAUACCACCCUUUAAUGGCUGGUGUUCUAACGUAGACCCGUGAUCCGGGUUGCGGACAGUGUCUGGUGGGUAGUUUGACUGGGGCGGUCUCCUCCUAAAGAGUAACGGAGGAGCACGAAGGUUAGCUAAUCCUGGUCGGACAUCAGGAGGUUAGUGCAAAGGCAUAAGCUAGCUUGACUGCGAGAGUGACGGCUCGAGCAGGUGCGAAAGCAGGUCUUAGUGAUCCGGUGGUUCUGAAUGGAAGGGCCAUCGCUCAACGGAUAAAAGGUACUCCGGGGAUAACAGGCUGAUACCGCCCAAGAGUUCAUAUCGACGGCGGUGUUUGGCACCUCGAUGUCGGCUCAUCACAUCCUGGGGCUGAAGUAGGUCCCAAGGGUAUGGCUGUUCGCCAUUUAAAGUGGUACGCGAGCUGGGUUUAGAACGUCGUGAGACAGUUCGGUCCCUAUCUGCCGUGGGCGCUGGAGAAUUGAGGGGGGCUGCUCCUAGUACGAGAGGACCGGAGUGGACGCAUCACUGGUGUUCGGGUUGUCAUGCCAAUGGCAUUGCCCGGUAGCUAAAUGCGGAAGAGAUAAGUGCUGAAAGCAUCUAAGCACGAAACUUGCCCCGAGAUGAGUUCUCCCUGACUCCUUGAGAGUCCUGAAGGAACGUU